This 231-nucleotide long non-coding RNA is filed under the name Gallus gallus (chicken). The record is from RNAcentral. Lineage: Eukaryota; Metazoa; Chordata; Aves; Galliformes; Phasianidae.
GCUCGUUUACAUUAUGAAACUUGACCUUCCUCAUUCAAAAAUCUUACCUGGCAUCUCCUUUUGAAAGGUUGGUGUUUACAGGAUGAAGAAUAACCUUGUUUGCAUCCACAUCCACCACACAUUUUGUAUGCAGAUCAAGCUCUCGCCGGUUCAUGGGGCGGACGCGCACCGCCACCUUCACUUUGGAAUCCCCCAUCGCGCCGCUCCGACCUCCCCGACUCCUUCGUUCCC